Molecule: ribosomal RNA, 455 nt
Filed under: Thermococcus sp. Bubb.Bath
Lineage: Archaea; Methanobacteriati; Methanobacteriota; Thermococci; Thermococcales; Thermococcaceae
Description: bacterial SSU rRNA
Rfam family: Archaeal small subunit ribosomal RNA
Source: RNAcentral
UGCGCUCUGCGCGCACCGGCGGACGGCUCAGUAACACGUCGGUAACCUACCCUCGGGAGGGGAAUAACCCCGGGAAACUGGGGCUAAUUCCCCAUAGGCCAGAGGUACUGGAAGGUCCUCAGGCCGAAAGGGGCUUUGCCCGCCCGAGGAUGGGCCGGCGGCCGAUUAGGUAGUUGGUGGGGUAACGGCCCACCAAGCCGAAGAUCGGUACGGGCCAUGAGAGUGGGAGCCCGGAGAUGGACACUGAGACACGGGUCCAGGCCCUACGGGGCGCAGCAGGCGCGAAACCUCCGCAAUGCGGGAAACCGCGACGGGGGGACCCCCAGUGCCGUGGCAUCGCCACGGCUUUUCCGGAGUGUACAGAGCUCUGGGAAUAAGGGCUGGGCAAGGCCGGUGGCAGCCGCCGCGGUAAUACCGGCGGCCCGAGUGGUGGCCGCUAUUAUUGGGCCUAAAGC